AUUGAACGCUGGCGGAAUGCUUUACACAUGCAAGUCGAACGGUAACAGGGACUUCGGUCCGCUGACGAGUGGCGAACGGGUGAGUAAUACAUCGGAACGUACCCAGCUGUGGGGGAUAACUACGCGAAAGCGUAGCUAAUACCGCAUACGACCUGAGGGUGAAAGCGGGGGACCGUAAGGCCUCGCGCAGUUGGAGCGCCCGAUGUUCGAUUAGCUAGUUGGUGAGGUAAAGGCUCACCAAGGCGACGAUCGAUAGCUGGUCUGAGAGGAUGAUCAGCCACACUGGGACUGAGACACGGCCCAGACUCCUACGGGAGGCAGCAGUGGGGAAUUUUGGACAAUGGGCGAAAGCCUGAUCCAGCCAUUCCGCGUGAGUGAAGAAGGCCUUCGGGUUGUAAAGCUCUUUCGGGUAGAAAGAAAUCGCAUGGGCCAAUACCCUGUGCGGAUGACGGUACUACCAUAAGAAGCACCGGCUAACUACGUGCCAGCCGCCGCGGUAA
Molecule: ribosomal RNA, 500 nt
Filed under: uncultured bacterium
Lineage: Bacteria
Description: partial 16S ribosomal RNA
Rfam family: Bacterial small subunit ribosomal RNA
Source: RNAcentral